Molecule: ribosomal RNA, 497 nt
Filed under: uncultured bacterium
Lineage: Bacteria
Description: partial 16S ribosomal RNA
Rfam family: Bacterial small subunit ribosomal RNA
Source: RNAcentral
GAUGAACGCUGGCGGCGUGCCUAAUACAUGCAAGUCGAGCGAACAGACGAGUAGCUGGCUCCGCUGACGUUAGCGGCGGACGGGUGAGUAACAUGUGGAUAACCUACGUAGAAGACUGGGAUAACUUCGGGAAACCGGAGCUAAUACCGGAUAAUAUAGUGAACCGCAUGGUUCAAUAGUGAAAGACGGUUUUGCGGUCACUUAUAGAUGGAUCCGCGCCGCAUUAGCUAGUUGGUAAGGUAACGGCUUACCAAGGCAACGAUGCGUAGCCGACCUGAGAGGGUGAUCGGCCACACUGGAACUGAGACACGGUCCAGACUCCUACGGGAGGCAGCAGUAGGGAAUCUUCCGCAAUGGGCGAAAGCCUGACGGAGCAACGCCGCGUGAGUGAUGAAGGUCUUCGGAUCGUAAAACUCUGUUAUUCGGGAAGAACACAUGUGUAAGUAACUAUGCACGUCUUGACGGUACCUAAUCAGAAAGCCACGGCUAACUACGUG